This 60-nucleotide non-coding RNA is filed under the name unclassified sequences. RNAcentral's name for it is "RAGATH-18 RNA". It matches the Rfam family "RAGATH-18 RNA". Rfam says of the family: Actinobacteria, Firmicutes, Fusobacteria, Thermotogae (1 example). Nearby to self-cleaving ribozyme genes The record is from Rfam by way of RNAcentral.
ACUGUGGAGUAUCAAAAAAUGUCGGUAGCUAAGGCAAAGACAGAUACGUUGAAGCAGUAA